AGCCCAGCAGCUCUCCUGGCCUCUGACGGACAACUUUGAGAAGAUGGCAAAGCAAGGGGCUGGAUCAUCAUCCAGCCAGCAGAGAAUCAAAGGAUAUUUUGGGUUGGAAGAGACCUUAAAGAUCACCUUGUUCCAACCCCCUGCCAUGGGCAGGGACACCUCCACUAACAGAGGCUGUUCAGAGCCCUGGCCACCUGGCCUUGGACACCUCCAGGGAAGGGUUCCUUGGUCUUUUCCUGGCAUCCCAGCUUUCCCAACCUUCAUGAAAAUGUUUCCUCUGAGGGUACCAGGACAAGCUUGAGGAUGAAGAGCCCACAAAAAGACUUGGCGGAGUUUUGUGCCACUUCCCAUUUCGGUGGAGGACAUCAGGAUGCAGAGAAGGGGGCAGACAGCAGGUCCCAAGACACAAGAUAAAAGCCCCUGGUUAGCCAGAGUGUCUCACUGCACCACCUCCUCUGUGAGCUGAUGCUUUCACCUGCCUUGAGAAAAACCCACCAACAAGAAGAUGGAAAACACCACCAGCAGUGCAACCUGAGUUUUGAACAGAGAGGAAGCAGAAAUACUGACAAUUCCAGAGCAGGCUUCUCUCAUUUCAGUGACCAAAACCACCAAAUAUUGCAAGUCUCAUAAAAAGUGAAGACCCUAAAUCUCCAGCAUGUUGUACACAAAUGAUCUGCGCUUUAUAAAACCUCUCCUGGACACAAUUUUUUUAUCCUCCCUCCAGGUUUCAAGCAAAGAAAGGUAUACCAUUCCUUGAUUGUAUUUGUGAGCACCUGAUGUUUGCAGUUUAAAUCAUCACAUGUUUCUGACGACUGGCUACAACAGCCUGGAAAACACCUUUCUUCCCAAGACCCUUCCCUGCCCCACCUCCUCGCAUGGGGGAAUACAGAUCAAGAGAGGAUGUGGGGCUGCAAGACAUGCACAUCUCCACGUUUUUUUUUCUCUUGUUCUCUACUUAAGGUCAAGCUGGUUAUUGGAUGUAGAAUAAAGGAAGAAAGCCCUCCUGCUACCCUGAAGGUGAGACUGGAGAGAGGAUAGGGCCCCUUCCUUUUCCUGUAGCAUGGAGCAUCAUCCCCAUCCUAGGAUCCCCACUGGGACUGAAGACUUGCUCUCUUUAGCCUGCCUUUCUGGAAGCUCAGAGCAUUUUUGGCUCCUGAGCUGAGGUGUUUUCAUCUGCCAGAGCAUGGAUUUGUGGAAGAGAGAUGUGAGGAGGGAAGGGCUGUCUAGGUACUCUUUAGUGGUCCCCAUGGCCAAUAAUUUCUUAUUCAUUUGUGUACAAGUCAUGUCUAAUCUUUCCAGGUGACUCUGUGAGUCCUAGCCAUGAAAAGAAAAGCAAAUGCUGGCAGAAAAAUUAAGAUAGUGUUGAGACUUGAGUGAAGGAAUAAUAUUUUUAUUAUUUAUGAUAUAGCCCUGAAAGGUUAAAUUUUUUCUGUUUGCUUAUUAAACCACUUGUUUGUUUUACCUUGAAAUUAUCAGGAAUGCUCCAGGUUCCUCUUUACAUUUUGUUAGUAGUUAGCCUGCAAAAAAACCUUUAAGCAACGUGGCUUGAGACAGCUCCCAAGGGCUUCAACAGCAGCAGCAAAGGAGCUGAAUCCUUCCCACAUGGGCCAGGUUAGUUUGUCCUUUUGCCCCAGCAGUUUCUGCUGCUUG
Passer domesticus (house sparrow) is the source of this 1650-nucleotide long non-coding RNA. RefSeq lists it as uncharacterized. Lineage: Eukaryota; Metazoa; Chordata; Aves; Passeriformes; Passeridae. The transcript has 3 exons. The record is from RefSeq and is a predicted model, not a curated record.